UGCCGCGUGAGUGAUGAAGGCCUUCGGGUUGUAAAGCUCUUUUGUCAGGGACGAUAAUGACGGUACCUGACGAAUAAGCUCCGGCUAACUUCGUGCCAGCAGCCGCGGUAAUACGAAGGGAGCUAGCGUUGUUCGGAAUUACUGGGCGUAAAGGGCGCGUAGGCGGUCUUAUAAGUUUGGUGUGAAAGCCCUGGGCUUAACCUAGGAAUAGCAUUGGAUACUGUAAGACUUGAGACCGAGAGAGGGAAAUGGAAUUGCGAGUGUAGAGGUGAAAUUCGUAGAUAUUCGCAAGAACACCAGUGGCGAAGGCGAUUUCCUGGCUCGGUACUGACGCUNANGCGCGAAAGCGUGGGGAGCAAACAGGAUUAGAUACCCUGGUAGUCCACGCUGUAAACGAUGAAUGCUAGAUGUUGGGGAUUAAAAUCUUCAGUGUCGUCGCUAACGCAAUAAGCAUUCCGCCUGGGGAGUAC
This 470-nucleotide ribosomal RNA is filed under the name uncultured bacterium. Its description in RNAcentral is "bacterial SSU rRNA". It matches the Rfam family "Bacterial small subunit ribosomal RNA", at positions 395 to 883 of the family's 1533-position model. The record is from RNAcentral.